AAAAUAAAUAAAUAAAUAAAUAAUUUCUCUCUCUCCGUCUCUUGCCUCUGCUCUCCUCUGUGAUUGUAUCAUUCAUUAUCAGGUAGGCCUUUCCCUCAGAGGGGUAAAGAGGGCCCCCAGCAGUUCCAGCCUUAUCCCCAACCAACUAAACAUUUUUGGUGGAAAGAGAAUAUUUUCCAAUAGUUCCAGCUAAACUCCCACGGUUGAAUCUCACUGGUCCGGUGUGGGUCACGUGCCCAUCCUCUGGUCAAUCUCUAUGGUUACAGCAAUAGAAUUCAUGAUAACAAGCCCCUCCCUGGAGUCUGAGACUGUCAGCCUCACUAGAAUAGAAAUGGAAAUAGGUAGUUACUAUCCUCAGAAGGAGCCCUAGAUGCUGACAUUCAAAAAUAACAAAUGCCUACCACAGUGGGGCAUGUGAGAAGAAUAGGUGAGUUCUAUGACAUCUUGCACAGCAAGGCUGCCGUGACAGUUGCACAGGUUGUGCACUGCACAUCUCUACAGGGUCUCCAUUUAUAUUCACUAUCACCCUAUGUUUACAGAUUUAUCAUGAUAAAUUUCCAACAGACUGCAGUUAAACAUCUUCAGGAAGGGAAGUGUGAUCGACUGAAAAUGAAAAACAUGGUCGCAGUAUUUUGCAACUCUUCCUGUCAAGAGGUAGAGUCUAUUUCCUUACCCCUCAAAUCUGGGUGGCCUCGAGACUUGCUUUGACCAAUAGAAUAUGGUAGAAGUGACUCUACAAAUUUUGAGGCUAAGACUUAAGAGGCUUAGUUUCCACUCUGACCCUCCUGGCGUGCUGCCUGAGACUGCCCGAUAAGACUACCCCAUAAGAAGGCAAACAGCCCCCAGGAGGGUGAGAGGUCACGUGAAGGAGACCCAAGGUGCCCCAACCAACCAGCUCUGGACUGGAGGACCCAGGAAGAAACCGAGGCUUAACAAGGUUAAAGUCACCUGCCCAUAGCGUGUGGUGGACUUGGGAUUUGGACUCAGGGCUGCAGAAAAUAAAUAACCAGGUCGCCAUGGGUAGAGACGGGGUUUCACCGUGUUAACCAGGAUGGUCUUGA
This 1061-nucleotide long non-coding RNA is filed under the name Homo sapiens (human). RNAcentral describes it as "HSALNT0384545". Lineage: Eukaryota; Metazoa; Chordata; Mammalia; Primates; Hominidae. The record is from RNAcentral.